Molecule: ribosomal RNA, 440 nt
Filed under: uncultured bacterium
Lineage: Bacteria
Description: bacterial SSU rRNA
Rfam family: Bacterial small subunit ribosomal RNA
Source: RNAcentral
CCUACGGGAGGCUGCAGUCGAGAAUCUUCCGCAAUGGGCGAAAGCCUGACGGAGCGACGCCGCGUGUGUGAUGAAGGCCUUCGGGUUGUAAAGCACUGUCAGGGGGGAACAAAACAAUGAGUGAUCCCCAGAGGAAGCACGGGCUAAGUUCGUGCCAGCAGCCGCGGUAAGACGAACCGUGCGAACGUUGUUCGGAAUCACUGGGCUUAAAGGGCGCGUAGGCGGUCUAUCAAGUCGGGGGUGAAAUCUUGCAGCUUAACUGUAAAAGUGCCUUCGAUACUGAUGGACUUGAGGGAGGUAGGGGCAGGUGGAACUUCCAGUGGAGCGGUGAAAUGUGUUGAUAUUGGAAGGAACGCCGGUGGCGAAAGCGACCUGCUGGAUCUCUUCUGACGCUGAGGCGCGAAAGCUAGGGGAGCAAACGGGAUUAGAUACCCUUGUAG